RNAcentral lists this long non-coding RNA (5085 nucleotides) under Ananas comosus (pineapple). RNAcentral describes it as "long non-coding RNA (ACOM_LNC010191)". Lineage: Eukaryota; Viridiplantae; Streptophyta; Magnoliopsida; Poales; Bromeliaceae. The record is from RNAcentral.
ACAUCCCUCGUAAUUUGUGCCGAGUCCCGUCGAAAUGAGCGGGACGCGGAGUUGAGCAAGAUGGUAUGGGCUAUAAGUGACGAGGAGCCUCUAAAAGGUGUUAAGGGACCCGAGAGAGAGAAAUCCCAAAAUCUGGCUAAGUCCCAGAUUUUGUGCUCUCGGGGACCGGUCCCUAAAGGAAAGACCGGUCCCCGUACGCAUAGCCUGCCAGGAAAUCCUGAGGCAUUCGGUCCCUGGUGGUGAGACCGAUCCUCGGGAGACCGGUCCUGGAGAGGCAGACCGGUCCCUCGCCGCGCAGCAGCUGAAGAAGCCAGAAAAUUUGCUAAGUCCUGGAAACCCAUCGUUUGGGAACCGGUCCCUGGUCGGGAAGACCAGUCCCCGAAGGCGAAAAAUGCCCAGUCUGGGCAGAUCAAUGGGAAACAAGUUGAGGGGCUUAAGUGCAAUUGUUACAACACUAUAUAUGGUUCAUCCCCUCUCUCCCACAGCCAUUUCCACCCUUCUCACCCAUUUCCUCUCUUUCUCUCUCUAGAACCUCUCUAGAGCUUGAAGAAGAAGAAGGGGAACUUAGAGAAGAAGGUGGAUUUGGUGCUUUAGCGGUUCUAGGAGCUCUCCAACAAGAAGAAUCUUGGUGGAGCUUGGACUAGAGGUAAGUUUUGUAGGUUUUUCCUCUAGGGUUUGGAUUUUGGCUUAGGGAUUUGGAGCUUUGUGCUCCUUAGAGGCUUUAGAGGCUCUUUUGAGCCAUGAAUGCCAUGGCACCCAUGAGAGCUCAAGGUGCUCUCAUGGUGAACUCUUGGAAGUUGUGUUAGGAGCCCUAGGGUUGGUUCCAAAGGUCUAGAAACCUUACUAGAAUGCUUCUUAGAUGAUCCUAAGCUAUUGUUUGCUUAGAGUUGAGAUCGAUUCAUGGGGGAACCCUAAAUGACAUUGUUAGGGCUUGAAAAUUGGGGAUUUUGCCCUAGGAUUUUUCGGGGACGAAUUGACCCCGUAGAAACCUAAUUGGGAGUGCCCUAAACGCGUGGGACAACUCCGUUUAACAUCACGAGAAUGUUAGAGUAUAGUUCGUGUACAAAAGGGGCCUAAUAUGGCACUAUUUUGGGUUGUAGGGUGCGGAUCAUCGUUCAUCGAGUUCGGGAGAUUGUCGCGUUCGUUUUCUACUACCUCACAAGGUGGGGGGUGCACGCCGGAAUCGUUGGAUUCCCUUCUAUGUCUAUUUCUCUAUUUUUGAACAUAUGUUGUUUAGUCACUCAUGCAUAUUAGGGUUAAAUUACAUGUGAACUUUGGUUGUAUCAUUAUGUUUUCUCUAACGUAUUGGAAAGUGGAAAGAUAUGGAACCAUGAUGGACAUGUAUUGUUGGACCCUAGUGAUUGCAUGAUUGUGAGACUUGGACUUGGCAAUAGUAAAUACUUGUGACAUUGACAAUAGAGAGAUAGAUUGGCAUUGACAAGUAGGUGUUAAACAUAGGUUUAACCAUAGUGACAUUGUGACAAAAAUGUUUAGCAAGUGACAUGAACGAGUGGUAGAGAACCUAGCAUAAAGAUGGCAUUGUAACUAAUGGCUAAGCAUCCUCAAGUUGGAGAUUCGAUCGAUACUCAUGAUACGUCUUGGCUUGAGGGUGGUAGCUCCCCCUCUGUAACAACGUGAAUUCUCGAAAUCUAAGAGUUUCACUUUGUCCAGGAUCGACUAAGGGUCGAAUGGAUAAGCUUUGGAAAAGCCUAGGAUGCACGAAACCCAAGAACUGCAUUGGAAUGGAGUCCGCGAGAGCAAAUAAUGCAAUCUGCAUUUUUGGGCUGAGGUUGCUCUCGGGGACCGGUCUCUAGAGGUGAGAGACCGGUUCCAUCAGCUGAAGGCUGCGGGGUUGCUGAUGCAACCGGUCCCUGGCAGGAGAGGGACCGGUCCCAGCCUGCGACAUCAGUGAGAAGAGCCAAAAUUGGCUAAGUCCCGCGAGAUGAGCUCUCGGGGACCGGUCUCUGGUAGGCGGACCGGUCUCCGGGGGACCGGUCCCUUAGGGAAAGACCGGUUCCCAAACGCGUGCUGUCGAGGGGAGCUCUCGGGGACCGGUCCUUGGUCGGGGAGACCGGUCCCUCCGCGCGUAGAAUGCCCAGUGAGGGCUGUGUAAGAGGUGAAAAGUGGAGGGGCCUUUGGGGAUAUUGUUAUAAAAUGAGAGAGGGUAUUAGAGAGGCUAUUUCCUCUCUCUCUCUCACUCCCUCACUGCCUCUCUCUCUCCCUCUCUCUGAUCGUGCAAGGGAGGAAUAGAAGAAAAGAAAGAAAAGAGAAAAGAGAAGAAAAGAAGGAAAAGAGAAAGGAAAGGAGAAGAAGAAGAGGACCAAGGAGAAGAUCCUCUUCCUCAUCUUCAUCUUCAUCUUCUUCUUCCAUUGGAGCUCUUGGAGAGGUAAGCUUGGUGCUCCCUCUCAUGGUAGACCUUUAGGGAUAGGGUUUUGAUCUCUAAAUUUAGUUUGUUUGGAACCCUAGCAUGCUAUUUUGAUGGAUUAUACCCAAAUCAUAGAUCGAUUUGAUGGAUUUGCUAGUGAUGGCAUUCUAGGGCAUCCAAAGAGGAUUUUUGUAAAUAGAUGAGUUUGAUCUCAUUUGACCCUUCGUAAACUUAAUUGAUAGGUAACGAAACACGUUGGUGAAGUCGGUUCGGCAAUCCGACAAGCCGUUGCAGAGAUAUUGAAGAAACGGAUGCUUGGAACUUCGUUUUCGCCUGGAGGGCCGAGGCUACAUCCCUAAAUCGUGGACUUGGGUCCCGGGCACCGUAGCGGCGAGGUGAAGAUCGUUAGCACUUGAAACGGCCAAGCAGCGCGCUCUUGGGAAGCAACUGUGAGAUCGGGCCCAAACGAGUGCCGAGUGCCGCGGAAGGCCGAUUGCAAGUGUCGACGAGCAAUCGGAGAAGCUAUCUAAGGUGGGUUGUGCUUACCAAAGCGACUAGGUCGCCCUUUAUGUCUUAGCAAUGUAAUCUCAUGUUGAUGCAUAUGCAUGUAGACAAGAUUAAAUGGUGCAUUAAUAAAUAUGCAUAGAGUAAAGGCUAAAUAAAGAAUGCAUGGUAACAAUAAUGCAUAGAUGAAAAUGCUAAGUAGAAAGCACGAUGUAUGGUACAUGCAUAUAAACUAGAUGAUAACUCUAGCGUGAGCCGAGAUGAUUGGACAACUAGGUUGUCAGGUAGAUAGAGUGGCAUCUAACCUAGUGUUAAAGAACAUAGGUUAAAUAAGUGAACCUAGAGUCGAACAAUCUAGGUGUGUGGCAUCGAACCUAGUAUUAGUAAACCUAGGUCGAACUAGUAAACCUAGAAGUGGACAUCUAGGCAAAGAUGACAAGAACCUAGCAAGUAUAUCUAGGUUAAGUGACGUGGACAUAGAACCUAGAGUGUGGGAACCUAGGUUGAUAAGUAUAGUGGUAUAGCCACUAGGAUGAGCUAGGGCGAAAAUAUAGGGUUGGCUAUGGACCCUCGACCUGUGGAAAGUGGAUUCCGGAAUCCCAUGACUUGUGAUGACCCUAGCAGAAGCUGGGGCGUUUGUGCGACGACUUCGCCGCCGAGCUUGGUACCGAGGGAGGAUUGGGGGCGAUCACAUGGAGAUCACUGCCCGGGGUUUGAACCAUUGCCGUGGCGUUUGUGCGACGAUUUCGCCGCCAGGAUUGUUAAGCCAUUUGAGGAUCAGACCGCCAGAGCAGACUGAACCCAUGCUGGGUAAGUACGAUGCGGGUGCCUCCAGGUGACUGAGUCUGACAUGUACCGUUGUUGGGUAUGGUGCGACCCGUUUGCCGCCAGACAGUGUGUCACGUCUCGAGCUCACGCUGGGUAAGUGCAACGCGAUCGCCACCAGAUGGUCAAGUCAUGCGACUUAAGCCGAGCUUAGCGUGUGCGACGACUUCGCCGCUAGGGGGCUGAGACAGAAAGGGCGGUAGGCUGGUGAGCAGCCAGUGCGCAGGCUAUCCACGGAUGAUUGACUCGGAGCCGAGUCGUGUGGUUAGCUUCGUUAGGGUAGAGGAACCCUUAUGAGCUAGAGGUUAAAGGCUUGAGCUAAGGUAAUAGAGACCUUAGAUGCGAGUGGACUAAGUUGAGAUCCUAAGGUAAUAGAAACCUUAGAGUAAAGAUAUGAGCUAAGAGUAGCUAAGUAAAGCGUAGAAUCAAAUGAUCUACUAGAUGUUGCAUAGAGUUGCAUGAUUUUCAUAUCGCAUAUCGUGAGGCAUGGCAUGUAUUUCAAUUGAAUAUAUAUAUAUAUAUAUAUAUAUAUAUAUAUAUAUAUAUAUAUAUAUAUAUAUAUAUAUAUAUAUAUAUAUAUGUUGUAUAUUGUUGAACUAACAUGUUGCUGUGCCUCCUCAGACCUAUCGAUCGAGCUUUUCCCUUGGGUGGCCGUACCCACUGGGAACCAUGGAGUUGGUUCUCACCCCACGUGGUUUUGGGGUGUUUUCAGGUUGUACGUGUGCGGCGCGGUGGCGCGAGGCGAGGGCGUAGCUCAGUAGAUAGCGCCCUACCAUAGAGACCGAGGUAGCAGUACCCUGAGACAGUCUAGCUUAGGGGACUAGAAGACAAUGAAACAAUUUGUAUCAAGUUGUAAUAAAUUGUAAUAACCUAAAUUGUAUUUGGAAGCAAGUGUAAAAGAAAAUGAAAUGUAAGCUUGUAUGUGAAUGCUUGUAAUAGCUAGAAGUUUUAUGUAUUCGAUACUUCCUUUUGCAAUCUGGAUUGAUAUCCAUUCCUAGUUGGAACAUUCGUUGAUUGUUCAGAUUGCGACGCCUAGAACGAACAAGGGAGACUCUGUCCACAUAUAGAGGAAACCCCGGUCCGUUCGGCGGUCUGUCGUCGGCACCGCGACCCGGUCCAAAUUGGCGGUUGGUCGCGAGGCGUGACACCCUCAAGCGGUGAGUUUUCGAAAAUAGUCACCUUGGGAGCGAGGUCCCUGAUGACGGUCCCUAGGGGUGGUUCGAGGCCCCCUGUUAUGACGGGAUUUGGGUUAUGAGUUAUUGGGGUUAACAAAGUUAACCGGCAAGAUUGGGUAAGAGCCAAAGCUUAUUUAAGAUUCGAGCAUGCAUGCAUUUCCAUUAUCGUAUUGAAUUAUAUAUCCGCUGACUUCUUUCUUGCAGGCAUAGUAUUAG